RNAcentral lists this transfer RNA (73 nucleotides) under Nocardia sp. alder85J. RNAcentral describes it as "tRNA-Arg". It matches the Rfam family "tRNA". Rfam says of the family: Transfer RNA (tRNA) molecules are approximately 80 nucleotides in length. The record is from RNAcentral. Lineage: Bacteria; Bacillati; Actinomycetota; Actinomycetes; Mycobacteriales; Nocardiaceae.
GCGCCUGUAGCUCAACCGACAGAGCGCCUGGUUACGAGCCAGGAGGCUGGGGGUUCGAAUCCUCUCGGGCGCC